This is a non-coding RNA of Sturnus vulgaris (Common starling), 89 nucleotides long. The record is from RefSeq and is a predicted model, not a curated record. NCBI's taxonomy places the organism in Eukaryota, Metazoa, Chordata, Aves, Passeriformes, Sturnidae.
CCAUGUGCCCAAGAGACUUGGUGCUGUGACCACUUCUGUGGGGAGCCUGUUCUGGUACCCAACCACCCUCUGGGUGAAGAACCUUUUCC